UGACAGUCAUGGCUUGUUUUCCCCAU
Molecule: non-coding RNA, 26 nt
Filed under: Rattus norvegicus (Norway rat)
Lineage: Eukaryota; Metazoa; Chordata; Mammalia; Rodentia; Muridae
Source: RNAcentral